GGAGGGAUCAUCAUUGGAAAACAUAUUUCUUAUAUGUGAGAGUGAGUGUUUUGCUUAGAGGGGGAGGUUGUGUGUGGUGUGCAUUCGUACUCUGCAUAUAUAUCUUUUUCUCUGGCUUUCCUCCACUCUUGUAUAUAUCAACAAACGAUCGCAACUAUAUGUGUGAGAUAUUGGACAAGAAGAGAAAAAGAUUGACUUGAUUCUUUCCUCUCUUUCUAUCCAAGAAACAAAAAGUGCUUGCCUGAUAUUGGUAAACGCACCAUUGAGCAAUCGAUGGCUGUGAUAUAUAUAAGAAAUACAACUUUCAACAACGAUCUCUUGGCUCUCACAUCGAUGAAGAACAUAGCAAAGUGUGAAAAUUAAUGUGAAUUGCAGAAUUCAGUGAAUCAUUGAGUUUUUGAACGCAUAUUGCACUCUUUGGUUAUUCCAAAGAGUAUGCCUGGUUGAGCAAUGCGAACAUAUCUUAUCAGGGUUAUUAUUCUUAUAAUAAUGGCUCUGGAGUUGAGUGUUUUACCUUGUCGCUUUUCUUCUCUUCUGCUGUCUGGGAAAUCAGACAGCAGCAGAAGCAGAAAAGCAAAAAGGUUCACUUGAAAUGAAGGGAAAUUAUAUAGACAAGCGCAGAUUGAUUUGACAGGAGAAUGGCUUGCUUUAACAACAAUGACUUGAUUAGUUGGUUGUGUCUUGGUGUUGGUUGAUUUUGAAUCAAAUCAUAAAGUCUUGUUUAGAGCCAUUGCUCUGCUGUUUGCUGUCUUGCUUUUAUUUCCUACAACUAGGAACGUGCAAAUACUUGCACACCAAACCAUCAUUCUCAACUCAGGCAAGACUACCCGCUGAAUUUAAGCAUAUAAAUAAGCGGAGGAAAAGAAACUAACAAGGAUUCCCUAGUAACGGCGAGUGAGGCGGGAAAAGCUCAAUUUUGAAUCUACCAAGAUUAACAUUCUUGGUCGAAUUGUAGUUUCAAGAAAGAGUGGCUGAGCAGAAGUCAGUUGGAUGCAAGUUCUUUGGAAUGUGACAUCAGAGAGGGUGACAAUCCCGUUCACCAUCCUUCUGUUUGCUUCUCACCAAAGGCCCUCUUUUCAAAGAGUCGAGUUGUUUGGGAUUGCAGCUCAAAAUGGGUGGUAAAAUUUCAUCUAAAGCUAAAUAUUGGUGAGAGACCGAUAGCGAACAAGUACCGUGAGGGAAAGAUGAAAAGCACUCUGAAGAGAGAGUGAAAAGUACGUGAAAUUGGUUGAAAGGGAAACGCUUGAAACCAGUCAAGGUUUGCUUGGAAUCAGGAGAUUGGUAGUUUGGCAGAAUUGGUUGAGAGAUUGGUCCUUUGUGGCUGACUGUUCUGCUGGUUUUCGCUAAGCUGCAGUUUCUGUACUUUCUUGGUAAACAAGUCAGCAUCAGUUUGAGAUUUGGGAAAAAGAUAACAGGACUUGGUUGGGCUUUUGACGAGUCUUUUGGUUCUCAGAGGUUCAAGCCUGCUUAUCAUGAUACCAAAUGUUAGACUGAGGACUGCAGUACGGGGCAUUGUCCUGGAAUAGGCUUGGCCUGUGAUUUUAUCCUUGGUAAACAGCUUGCUGAUUAUUAGGGAUAAGAUUCAGGAAAAGUCCAAUCUAGGUUGGCUUCCGACUUUGGAUGCUGACGAAAUGGUUUUAAACGACCCGUCUUGAAACACGGACCAAGGAGUCUAACAUGGAUGCAAGUAUUUGGGUGAUUGGAAACCCAUAUGCGCAAUGAAAGUAAUUUGUUUAAGAUAGGAAGUUUUGGCUCCUUCACGAGGAACCAGAACAGCACUAUCGACCGAUGUUGACUAGCUUCGGCUUGAUAGAUUCGAGUAAGAGCAUGUAUGUUGGGACCCGAAAGAUGGUGAACUAUGCCUGAAUAGGGUGAAGUCAGACGAAAGUCUGAUGGAAGCUCGUAGCGAUUCUGACGUGCAAAUCGAUCGUCAAAUUUGGGUAUAGGGGCGAAAGACUAAUCGAACCAUCUAGUAGCUGGUUCCUGC
Molecule: unclassified non-coding RNA, 1987 nt
Filed under: uncultured fungus
Lineage: Eukaryota; Fungi
Description: sequence contains 18S rRNA gene, ITS1, 5.8S rRNA gene, ITS2, 28S rRNA gene
Rfam family: Eukaryotic large subunit ribosomal RNA (bases 804-1987)
Source: RNAcentral